AAUUUUACGAGUAGUUCGCAAAACAUUUCUAUCUGCUCAGAUUUUUUCAUUUAUUCGCUUGUUCAUGCCUUUUGUAGCUUCCUCGGCUUUGCACACUUUUAGGUCAUCAUCAUUCGCUCGGCCUUCGGUUGUGUGCGCUCGCAUAAUUAAAAAUGUACACACGUGUGCUGACAUGGAGACCACGUGUUGGCUCUAGGACCUGCUAAGGGGUGAGGCUAAAGGGGUUUUUUUCCCAGUUAAUAUUUACCUGAAACUCAGCAGCCCCAGCAGCCCAGCAUCUCUGGAGCUCUGGAGAGAAAGCUAAAACCUUCACAGCAUCAUUAUUACACGUGGCGUAUACUUAAUAGUACAAAAAAAGUUUACCUCAACCUACAAAAUCGCGAAAUAAAACAGUUGUAUUGUCGUAGCUGAACUUAAAUAUAAAUAUGGUAAAAGGGGUGAACUUGGUAAAAGGGGUGAAAGAUUUAUAAUUAGUUUUUUAAUUAUAAUUAAGUUUAUAUUGAAGCAUAAAAUUCGAUAAAUUACACAUAUAUAAUGCUAUAAUGCCUCUGUAUUUUGAAAUAAGCUUUUAUUUCAUCAAAACGAAAAUAUUGGAAAGAAAAAUAAAAAGUUACUUAUAAGUAUAGUUUAAUAGCUUUAAAAUUUAUAUGAAUUCAUUGCUUAUUUUCUAUGUAAAUAUUAUUUCCAUUUGUAGGCAUUUGUUUCUCUGGUGAUCCUGGGCGAAGCCAUUUCAAAACUGUGUUCUUUACACAGUUGAUGCACAGAACUGAUUCACUAGGCACUAGUAUACUGAUCACUAAGAACAGAAGCAGUCCUAAAUUCAAAAUAAGA
Drosophila ananassae is the source of this 831-nucleotide long non-coding RNA. RefSeq lists it as uncharacterized. Lineage: Eukaryota; Metazoa; Arthropoda; Insecta; Diptera; Drosophilidae. The record is from RefSeq and is a predicted model, not a curated record. The transcript has 2 exons.